UACGAAGGGUGCUAGCGUUGUUCGGAAUCACUGGGCGUAAAGCGCACGUAGGCGGAUGUGUCAGUCAGGGGUGAAAUCCCGGAGCUCAACUUCGGAACUGCCUUUGAUACAGCACGUCUUGAGUCCGAUAGAGGUGGGUGGAAUUCCUAGUGUAGAGGUGAAAUUCGUAGAUAUUAGGAAGAACACCGGUGGCGAAGGCAGCCCACUGGAUCGGUACUGACGCUGAGGUGCGAAAGCGAGGGGAGCAAACAGG
RNAcentral lists this ribosomal RNA (253 nucleotides) under uncultured bacterium. RNAcentral describes it as "partial 16S ribosomal RNA". It matches the Rfam family "Bacterial small subunit ribosomal RNA", at positions 524 to 776 of the family's 1533-position model. The record is from RNAcentral.